GAUGAACGCUAGCGCUAGGCUUAACACAUGCAAGUCGAGGGGCAGCAUGGUCUUAGCUUGCUAAGGCUGAUGGCGACCGGCGCACGGGUGCGUAACGCGUAUGCAACUUGCCUCACAGAGGGGGAUAACCCGUCGAAAGACGGACUAAUACCGCGUACACUCUAUGUUGGGCAUCCAAUGUAGAGGAAAUGAAAUUCGCUGUGAGAUAGGCAUGCGUCCCAUUAGCUAGUUGGUGAGGUAACGGCUCACCAAGGCGACGAUGGGUAGGGGAACUGAGAGGUUGAACCCCCACACUGGUACUGAGACACGGACCAGACUCCUACGGGAGGCAGCAGUGAGGAAUAUUGGUCAAUGGGCGAGAGCCUGAACCAGCCAAGUCGCGUGAAGGAUGACUGUCUUAUGGAUUGUAAACUUCUUUUAUACGGGAAUAACAAGAGUCACGUGUGGCUCCCUGCAUGUACCGUAUGAAUAAGCAUCGGCUAACUCCGUG
Molecule: ribosomal RNA, 490 nt
Filed under: uncultured bacterium
Lineage: Bacteria
Description: partial 16S ribosomal RNA
Rfam family: Bacterial small subunit ribosomal RNA
Source: RNAcentral